This 245-nucleotide small nucleolar RNA is filed under the name Falco tinnunculus (common kestrel). RNAcentral's name for it is "Small Cajal body-specific RNA 2 (ENSFTIG00000007802.1)". It matches the Rfam family "Small Cajal body-specific RNA 2", at positions 64 to 419 of the family's 420-position model. The record is from RNAcentral. Lineage: Eukaryota; Metazoa; Chordata; Aves; Falconiformes; Falconidae.
GGGGUGCGGGGGUGAGGCGCGUGUGUGCGUGUGUGUGUGCGUGUGCGAGGCGCGGGUGUGUGGUGCGCGGCGCGCGCCGGCCCCCCUACACGUUGAUCUUAUUCGAUCGGCCGGCGGCGCCGGGCCGAGGUGAGAAGAACGGCGCCGCGAAGCCCGCGGGCAAUGUGCGGCGGCCAGCGGCGGGCGGGAUGAGUCGAUCAGAUAGGCGAGGCCGCGGCCGCUGAGCGCCCUGCGAUUCUGACCCG